Molecule: ribosomal RNA, 422 nt
Filed under: uncultured archaeon
Lineage: Archaea
Description: partial 16S ribosomal RNA
Rfam family: Archaeal small subunit ribosomal RNA
Source: RNAcentral
CUACGGGGCGCACCAGUUAGGUAUAAUCUACAAUGCGCGAAAGCGUGAUAGUUUGAGCCAGAGUGUGUUUCUAUUGAAAUGCUUUUGGAAAAUGUAAAAAGUUUUCCGAAUAAGGACUGGGUAAGACUAGUGCCAGGCCGCCGCGGUAAUACUAGCGGUCCAAGUCGCAGCCAUUUUUAUUGGGUCUAAAACAUCCGUAGCUUGUUUAGUAAGUCUCUUGUGAAAUUUUAUAUCUUAAGUAUGAACCGUGCAAGGGGUACUGCUAAGCUAGAGACUGGGAGACGUAAGAAGUACGUUUGAAGUAGCGGUAAAAUGUGUUAAUCUCAGACGGACUAACAAUAGCGAAGGCAUCUUACGAGAACAGUUCUGACAGUAAGGGAUGAAGGCUAGGGUCGCGAAAGGGAUUAGAUACCCCCGUAGUC